This is an RNA transcript of Gossypium raimondii (Peruvian cotton), 2738 nucleotides long. It is a transcript of the gene named disease resistance protein RPV1-like, with no coding region annotated. The transcript has 5 exons. The record is from RefSeq and is a predicted model, not a curated record. NCBI's taxonomy places the organism in Eukaryota, Viridiplantae, Streptophyta, Magnoliopsida, Malvales, Malvaceae.
ACUACACCCUUUCAUUUUUCCACAGAAAUUGCCUAGAAACCUCUGUUUACUUUCCUUGCAAAUUUGAUCUAUUCUUCUCUUUCUUGAUGCUCCUAUACUUAAAAAAGACUGUUUGUAGUUUCUUUCUGGCUGGCGAUUAGGAGAUCUGUUUUCUGAUUUUGAUACCUUUUUCUUCUCAUCAUGUUGUCGUUGCCUUCAACUUCAUCCUCCAUUUCUAGAAAGAAAUAUGAUGUCUUCUUAAGUUUUAGAGGUGAAGAUACCCGCAAAAACUUCACUGAUCAUCUUUAUCAUGCUCUGAAAAGGAGUGGAAUAAUCAUCUUCAGGGAUGAUCCAAAGCUGGAGGCCGGCGAAGAGAUCGCGCCAGAACUGUUUAAAGCCAUUCAGCAGUCAUGGUGCUCCGUAAUCGUAUUUUCAGAAUCUUAUGCUACUUCGGUUUGGUGCUUGGACGAACUUACUGAGAUUGUUAAGCAGAAAAACGACAAGGGUUAUAAAGUGUUUCCAGUUUUCUAUGACGUGGAUCCAUCUGAUUUAAGAAAACAGAAAGGAAAAGUUGAAGAAGCCUUUGCGGAACAUGAAAAGAGAUAUGAUGAAGAUAAGGUCCAAAGGUGGCGAUAUGCUUUGACUCAAGUCGCAAACAUUAAGGGAUGGCAUCUAAAUCACAGGCAUGAAACCGAAUUUAUUGGAGACAUUGUUAAAAAAAUAACAGCAAGAUUGUGCGAAACAUAUCCAAUUGCCCAUGAUGAGUUGGUUGGAAUUAGUUCACGCUUGAAGGAGCUAUAUGCGAAAAUAGACAUUGGUGAAGAUGAUGGCCGCGUUAUCGGAAUUUGUGAAAUGUGUGGCAUCGGUAAAACGACUCUUGCAAGAGUUGCUUACACUCAAAUGUCAUCUCAUUUUGAAGGUAAAAGCUUUCUUGCUGAUGUUCGAGACGUUUCAAACAAAUGUGGACUUGUUUCGUUACAGAAACAACUUCUUUCCCAAAUCUUGCCUGAUGAAUGCUUUAAUUUCUUCAAUGUUUAUGAAGGAAAUGUCAUUAUUAACCACAGGCUAUCUAACAAAAGGGUUCUUAUUGUUCUUGAUGAUGUUGAUAACCUACAACACUUAAAAUGUUUGGUUGGAAGGCGUGAUUGGUUCGGUUUAGGGAGUAGAAUCAUUGUAACAACAAGAGACGAACAUUUGCUCCGAUCUUACCGUGUUGAUGAUGUAUAUAAGCCUACAACAUUGAAUGAUAAUGAUGCACUUCGACUUUUCAAUUUGAAAGCUUUCGGUUGCGAGAAUGUGCCAAAAGAGGAUUUCAUUGAGCUUGUUGAACAUGUUGUAGGUUAUGCUGGUGGACUCCCUUUAGCUCUUGAAGUUUUGGGUUCUUUUCUAUGCGAUAGAGAUGCAAUUCAAUGGAGAAGUGCAAUAGAAAGACUCAAAAGAGAUUCUAACAAAGAAAUUCUUGACAGACUUCAAAUAAGCUUUGAUGGAUUGGAAGAAAGGGAGAAGAAUAUAUUUCUAGAUAUAGCAUGCUUUUUUAAUGGAGAGGAGAAAGAUUUUGUAAUGAAAGUAUUAGAUGGUUGCGAGUUUUUUCCCGAUAUUGGAAUUGAUAUUCUCAUUAAAAAUCUCUACUAACAGUUAAUAAAUAAAACCAACUGCGGAUGCAUGACUUGCUACAAGAAAUGGGAAGAAAAAUUGUUAGAGAAAAAUCUAUUGAUGAACUUGGAAAACGUUGCAGAUUGUGGGAGGAAAGAGAUGUCUAUCAUGUGCUAACAACAAAAACAGGUACAGAUAUGAUUGAAGGUAUAAACAUUGACAAUAAAAGGUAUUUGGAAAUUCAAGAGAAAAGCUUGAUAUUAUUAUACCUGCAAGUGAAAUCCCAGAAUGGUUUAGUCAACAAAGAGGUGACUCUUCGAUUAAGAUAGAUUUGCCUCUGGAAGUCCGGAAUGGUAGUCAAUGGAAGGGAGUUGGUUUCUGCUGCAUUUUUGUCAGUGGUGGUACUUCAAGGGAUGAGACUAUCAUGCGUAGAGCUGUUAUCCACGAUAGAUAUUCUAGCCAAGAUGUCCAACGGAGUGGCUGGGAUCUCUCAUGUAAUGAAUGUCCCGUGAAGGACCACAUUUUCAUUCGUUAUUUCUCGCGUGACUGCUUGUAUCCAAUUUCCUUGGAAGACAAAUGUGGUGAACAUGAUGAAACCAAUAAUUUAUGGACAAUAGAUUGCUUAGAUCAGGAAUGCCAUCAACUUGAGUUGUCUUUCACAGAUCCCUUCAGUGUUACGGUGAAGAAGUGUGGUGUUAGAAUAGUGUAUGAGAGAGCUUUGGAAGAAACACAAGAGCUGCAUGGUAGUCAGUGUUUAGAAAAUUUUGAAGAUAUCCAACAACACUCGGCUGAUGAUGGAUCAAUAGGUAACGAUUCCAUUAAAAAGCGAAAACGUAAUAUCUAUGAGGAGAUGGAUGAAGGGCCGCAACCAAAACGGAUGCAAAAAAUUUUCAAUUCUAUAAUGGGCAAACUGGGGAAGAAGCACUAAUUGUGGUCGAAAAAAUGUAAUCAGCGGGAGAUAAGAUGUGGAGGAAGUUGGAUUGUUCCAUGAAGAAGCAGCUAAUAAGUAAGGUGCAAAUCCUUUAACGAUGUUUAGAUUAUAAUCAUCCUUUUAUCUUUGUUGUUUCAUUUUUGUUUGUAAUUGUUAAAGACCAAAGUAUGUGUUAAAUGUGAUAUGUGUCUAGUUUAAUUUUUUAAAAUUAUUUUUAUAUUUAAAAUAUUAAUUA